This 446-nucleotide ribosomal RNA is filed under the name uncultured bacterium. RNAcentral's name for it is "partial 16S ribosomal RNA". It matches the Rfam family "Bacterial small subunit ribosomal RNA", at positions 338 to 795 of the family's 1533-position model. The record is from RNAcentral.
CCUACGGGUGGCAGCAGUCGAGAAUCAUUCACAAUGGGGGAAACCCUGAUGGUGCGACGCCGCGUGGGGGAAUGAAGGUCUUCGGAUUGUAAACCCCUGUCAUGUGGGAGCAAAUUAAAAAGAUAGUACCACAAGAGGAAGAGACGGCUAACUCUGUGCCAGCAGCCGCGGUAAUACAGAGGUCUCAAGCGUUGUUCGGAAUCACUGGGCGUAAGGCGUGCGUAGGCUGUUUCGUAAGGCGUGUGUGAAAGGCGCGGGCUCAACCCGCGGACGGCACAUGAUACUGCGAGACUAGAGUAAUGGAGGGGGAACCGGAAUUCUCGGUGUAGCAGUGAAAUGCGUAGAUAUCGAGAGGAACACUCGUGGCGAAGGCGGGUUCCUGGACAUUAACUGACGCUGAGGCACGAAGGCCAGGGGAGCGAAAGGGAUUAGAUACCCGGGUAGUC